GAAAUGCGAUAAGUAAUGCGAAUUGCAGAAUUCAGUGAAUCAUCGAAUGUUUGAACGCACCUUGCGCUCCUUCGUAUUCCGAGGAGCAUGUGUGUUUGAGUGUCAUGAAACCCUCAAACCCAAGUUUAGGAUUUCGGUCCAUGCUUGAGUUUGGAUUUGGAUGCUUGCCGGUGAUGAACCGACUCAUCUUAAAAGUAUUAGCUUGGAUCUGUCUAGAUGACUGGUUUGACUUGGCAUAAUAAGUAUUUUGCUGAGGACAUCUUCGGAUGGCCAGGACCUAGACUACUGUCUGCUAACUAAACCAUCACUUUGAGUGCAUCUUUGGAUGUUACUCAUUGUGUAACUUUGACAUCUGGCCUCAAAUCAAGUAGGACUACCCGCUGAACUUAA
Molecule: unclassified non-coding RNA, 390 nt
Filed under: uncultured fungus
Lineage: Eukaryota; Fungi
Description: sequence contains ITS1
Rfam family: 5.8S ribosomal RNA (bases 1-105)
Source: RNAcentral